Molecule: ribosomal RNA, 254 nt
Filed under: uncultured bacterium
Lineage: Bacteria
Description: partial 16S ribosomal RNA
Rfam family: Bacterial small subunit ribosomal RNA
Source: RNAcentral
GACGUAGGGGGCAAGCGUUGUCCGGAUUUAUUGGGCGUAAAGAGCUCGUAGGCGGUUGCGUAAGUCGGAUGUGAAAACUCAGGGCUCAACCCUGAGACGCCAUCCGAUACUGCGCUGACUCGAAUCCAGUAGGGGAGUGUGGAAUUCCUGGUGUAGCGGUGAAAUGCGCAGAUAUCAGGAGGAACACCCAUGGCGAAGGCAGCACUCUGGGCUGGUAUUGACGCUGAGGAGCGAAAGCAUGGGUAGCGAACAGG